This 1712-nucleotide ribosomal RNA is filed under the name Staphylococcus aureus. RNAcentral describes it as "partial 23S ribosomal RNA". It matches the Rfam family "Bacterial large subunit ribosomal RNA", at positions 1190 to 2904 of the family's 2925-position model. Lineage: Bacteria; Bacillati; Bacillota; Bacilli; Caryophanales; Staphylococcaceae. The record is from RNAcentral.
AUUACCGAAGCUGUGGAUUGUCCUUUGGACAAUGGUAGGAGAGCGUUCUAAGGGCGUUGAAGCAUGAUCGUAAGGACAUGUGGAGCGCUUAGAAGUGAGAAUGCCGGUGUGAGUAGCGAAAGACGGGUGAGAAUCCCGUCCACCGAUUGACUAAGGUUUCCAGAGGAAGGCUCGUCCGCUCUGGGUUAGUCGGGUCCUAAGCUGAGGCCGACAGGCGUAGGCGAUGGAUAACAGGUUGAUAUUCCUGUACCACCUAUAAUCGUUUUAAUCGAUGGGGGGACGCAGUAGGAUAGGCGAAGCGUGCGAUUGGAUUGCACGUCUAAGCAGUAAGGCUGAGUAUUAGGCAAAUCCGGUACUCAUUAAGGCUGAGCUGUGAUGGGGAGAAGACAUUGUGUCUUCGAGUCGUUGAUUUCACACUGCCGAGAAAAGCCUCUAGAUAGAAAAUAGGUGCCCGUACCGCAAACCGACACAGGUAGUCAAGAUGAGAAUUCUAAGGUGAGCGAGCGAACUCUCGUUAAGGAACUCGGCAAAAUGACCCCGUAACUUCGGGAGAAGGGGUGCUCUUUAGGGUUAACGCCCAGAAGAGCCGCAGUGAAUAGGCCCAAGCGACUGUUUAUCAAAAACACAGGUCUCUGCUAAACCGUAAGGUGAUGUAUAGGGGCUGACGCCUGCCCGGUGCUGGAAGGUUAAGAGGAGUGGUUAGCUUCUGCGAAGCUACGAAUCGAAGCCCCAGUAAACGGCGGCCGUAACUAUAACGGUCCUAAGGUAGCGAAAUUCCUUGUCGGGUAAGUUCCGACCCGCACGAAAGGCGUAACGAUUUGGGCACUGUCUCAACGAGAGACUCGGUGAAAUCAUAGUACCUGUGAAGAUGCAGGUUACCCGCGACAGGACGGAAAGACCCCGUGGAGCUUUACUGUAGCCUGAUAUUGAAAUUCGGCACAGCUUGUACAGGAUAGGUAGGAGCCUUUGAAACGUGAGCGCUAGCUUACGUGGAGGCGCUGGUGGGAUACUACCCUAGCUGUGUUGGCUUUCUAACCCGCACCACUUAUCGUGGUGGGAGACAGUGUCAGGCGGGCAGUUUGACUGGGGCGGUCGCCUCCUAAAAGGUAACGGAGGCGCUCAAAGGUUCCCUCAGAAUGGUUGGAAAUCAUUCAUAGAGUGUAAAGGCAUAAGGGAGCUUGACUGCGAGACCUACAAGUCGAGCAGGGUCGAAAGACGGACUUAGUGAUCCGGUGGUUCCGCAUGGAAGGGCCAUCGCUCAACGGAUAAAAGCUACCCCGGGGAUAACAGGCUUAUCUCCCCCAAGAGUUCACAUCGACGGGGAGGUUUGGCACCUCGAUGUCGGCUCAUCGCAUCCUGGGGCUGUAGUCGGUCCCAAGGGUUGGGCUGUUCGCCCAUUAAAGCGGUACGCGAGCUGGGUUCAGAACGUCGUGAGACAGUUCGGUCCCUAUCCGUCGUGGGCGUAGGAAAUUUGAGAGGAGCUGUCCUUAGUACGAGAGGACCGGGAUGGACAUACCUCUGGUGUACCAGUUGUCGUGCCAACGGCAUAGCUGGGUAGCUAUGUGUGGACGGGAUAAGUGCUGAAAGCAUCUAAGCAUGAAGCCCCCCUCAAGAUGAGAUUUCCCAACUUCGGUUAUAAGAUCCCUCAAAGAUGAUGAGGUUAAUAGGUUCGAGGUGGAAGCAUGGUGACAUGUGGAGCUGACGAAUACUAA